AAUUUGGCGGUAAUUUAGUCUAUUCAGAGGAACUUGUCCCGUUAUCGAUAGUCCCCGUUUUAUCUUGCUUAUUCUUGUAAUUUCAGUAUGUAUACCGCCGUUAUAAGUUUAUUUUAUUAGAAUAUAAAUAUACUAAAAAUAUUAUUAUAUUUUAUUUCAGGUCAAGGUGCAGUUAAUGAAUAAGAGGAGAUGAGUUACAAUAUUUUUUGAAUAUACGGAUUUAAUUUAAAAUUUUUAUUGAAGGUGGAUUUGAUAGUAAUUUUUUUUUAUAAUAAUUAUUUGAUUUUAGCUCUAAAUUAAGCACACAUCGCCCGUCGCUC
This 320-nucleotide ribosomal RNA is filed under the name Macellina dentata. RNAcentral describes it as "partial 12S ribosomal RNA". Lineage: Eukaryota; Metazoa; Arthropoda; Insecta; Phasmatodea; Diapheromeridae. The record is from RNAcentral.